ACAGGGAUUGCCUCAGUAACGGCGAGUGAAGCGGCAAUAGCUCAAAUUUGAAAGCUGGCUUACGCCCGCGUUGUAAUUUGCAGAGGAUGCUUCGGAUGCGGUGCCGGUCUAAGUUCUUUGGAACAGGACGUCAUAGAGGGUGAGAAUCCCGUAUGUGACUGGUGGCCUGCGUCUAUGUGAAGCUCCUUCGACGAGUCGAGUUGUUUGGGAAUGCAGCUCUAAAUGGGUGGUGUACUUCAUCUAAAGCUAAAUAUUGGCUGGAGACCGAUAGCGCACAAGUAGAGUGAUCGAAAGAUGAAAAGCACUUUGGAAAGAGAGUUAAAUAGUACGUGAAAUUGUUGAAAGGGAAGCGCUUGCAAUCAGACUUGCGCUGCGUCGAUCAACCUGGGUUCUCCCUGGUGCACUCGGCGCAGCUCAGGCCAGCAUCAGUUUCGGCGGUUGGAUAAAGGCUUGGAGAACGUGAGUUGCUUCGGCGACUGUUAUAGCUCCAGGUGCAAUGCAGCCAGCUGGGACUGAGGACCGCGCUUUUCGCGAAGCUAGGAUGCUGGCGUAAUGGUUGUAAGCGACCCGUCUG
RNAcentral lists this ribosomal RNA (574 nucleotides) under uncultured fungus. RNAcentral describes it as "eukaryotic LSU rRNA". It matches the Rfam family "Eukaryotic large subunit ribosomal RNA", at positions 68 to 655 of the family's 3401-position model. Lineage: Eukaryota; Fungi. The record is from RNAcentral.